CCCUUAGAUGUUCUGGGCCGCACGCGUGCUACACUGAGUGGAUCAGCGGGUCAGGUUGCGCGAAAGCGUUUCCUAAUCUUUAAAUCCGCUCGUGAUGGGGAUUGACGGUUGCAAUUUUCUGUCAUGAACGAGGAAUACCUUGUAAGCGCGGGUCAUCCCGCGCUGAAUACGUCCCUGCCCUUUGUACACACCGCCCGUCGCUCCUACCGAUUGAGUGGUCCGGUGAGGCUUUGGGAUCUGAGCGGAAAGAGCGUUUCGCUGUUUCUGCUCGGAAAACUCAGUCGAACCUUAUCAUUUAGAGGAAGGAGAAGUCGUAACA
RNAcentral lists this ribosomal RNA (319 nucleotides) under uncultured eukaryote. Its description in RNAcentral is "partial 18S ribosomal RNA". It matches the Rfam family "Eukaryotic small subunit ribosomal RNA", at positions 1470 to 1796 of the family's 1831-position model. The record is from RNAcentral.